UCUGGGUAGAGCGAGGCUGUGUUCAGUUGGCACCAAACGUGGGUGUUUUGAAAAGGAGUGAAAGGCAGAAGAACUACUCCCACACAAUAAUACGACUCAGAUCCCUGUGGGUACAGACCUUUGUUGCAGCCAAGCAGUAACCCAUCUGAUUUCACAAACUGAUAUUAGUCCUUAACACUAGAACCGCUGGGCCUCGAGGAGGACCCCCCUCAAGCUAAUGAGCAGUAAUUCUGACUGCCACAUUCUGACAUUGUAAUUAAUACAUUUUAUAUAUGCUAUCAAAAAGUAAUAAUUUGGUUGUUUAUGAAGGUCUUAGGUAACAUUAGAAUAUGUUUUUAUAUAACACAAUAUCAUUUUAAUUAGUUUAGUGUUUUAGGCUCUAUGUAAAAACGCAACACAAAUUUAAGUGUUCGGUCCAUUUUAUUCGUGGAGUUAUGUUACAACUAUGAAACAGAAGGCCUAUGUGUUGAGACGAGGUAACAACUUGUUUUAAUAACAUCUAAAUAUAUCAGUAGCCUAAACAUACGUGCCAAGUGUGCUUGAUAAAUACUGAAUAUUGUCACAAAGCAAUAAUAGCAUGUUAACUUUCUCAGUAUGAAAGCAGUCCAAAAUUGUAACUUGUUAGCUCGCGCUUACAUGGUGUCACAUAAACAACGAGACGUUGCUGAUAUUGUUUUUUGCUUGUGGUGUAGGGUCUGCUCUCUGAUGACAUUUUGUGCUGAGAUUGUCACAGUCUUAUUUUAUCGACACGGUGCUGUCCUCUCCUGUCUCAGUUUCAUUUGGUGGUGCCUCGGACACCUUCUCAGGGUGCACCGUUCAGACUUUUUUACGCUUAAGCCUCAGGGGUUCAGGUUGAGGCCCAGAAGAAUAAUCAUCAGAGAUGUCAUGAUUCAUUUCUUCCCCGCCAUUGGAGUAAUUUUCAUUCAGAUUUUGUAGCAACGCUAACGCAGCAUGUGCAUCCAUUCGUCUUGGUCCAUUACCCACGCUUUCACUGUGUACUCCAAGUAGGCCAGAGUGGACUGAUAAGACUGUGAUUUGGUGGACUAAUAUAGGGGACAUAUCAUUUAGAUAUUAUAAACAGUAGAUAAAUACAGUAGAAUGGCCUGCCCUGUUUUUCACUGACAAUUGGUGAUUACAUAAUUAUGCAUUGUUCGCUUCCCUGCGCUCAUCCACUCUUCUCCCAACUGGGCACAGCACCUUCAAUGCUCGGGAGAAGUAGAGGCAACGGGGAAAAACCCACAAACUUAAAUGACAUACCCUCCUAAAACUGGUUAUAACUCAGGUUCUGUUUGCGAUAUUAAGAUUCUAGCGACAGUGUGUUGUAGAACCUUUUAGGAAAUGUCAAGUACGGAGGGGACAUGAUGGCAUAGUAAUAAUUUUAUUUAAAUUGGUGGGCAGUCCAAAUUACUGCUUUAGCAGUUCUAGUGAUGACUGAUACAAAUGACAGAACCCACACGGGCCUUCUGUAAGACAGUAUUGUUCUCGCUUAAAAAAUAUAAACUUACCAGUCGUUUAUUGUUAACAUAAGUGACCCCCUUCUCUAUUUGACAGGAAUUUUCCCCCUCAGGCUGUCAGAGGUAGAAUCCUGCAUCGGGUCGGAUACCCAUGGCUACAUAUCGGUGAACCGCAAAAAUAUCAACUUGUGGAUGAAAUGAACAUUCUGUCAACAUGUGGAUUGGGUCGUGGUUCAGAACAAUUACAUUGUGGGCUGAAAACAUUUCAAAUCAAGACGAUACACUUUUUUAAAAACCCAUGAGCUUAUUGGGUUGAGACAAGGCAGACAAGGCUUUCAGCCAUGCACGCUUUGAGUGUGUGUGGAGCUGGGAACUGUCCCUUAUUUGUGUAGUGCCAAAAAAUUCUAAUUUGUCCACAUGCAGAGAUCAUGUUCCCUCUCCUCACGUGAGAAUAGGCUAUAUAACGUGUAAACCAAUACGGCUGUUAAGUUUGAUAAGCCUACUAAGUAAAUGUAGUCUAUUUUUGUAGCCUAUAUUUGGUUCUGGGAAUGGUUUAAUUAGACCUAAACUAUUUGAUCAUCUAAACAAUAUUUAAUCUAAAGGUAUUGUUUUAGGACAGCUAUUGGCUUUCAUCACAGUUAAGGCUAAUUAGAAGGCUCUUUCAGUGGUUUAAGUGACUUGUUGCAUUGUGAAAAUGAAAUUUUUUCUUAA
Long non-coding RNA from Oncorhynchus gorbuscha (pink salmon), 2165 nucleotides. RefSeq lists it as uncharacterized. The record is from RefSeq and is a predicted model, not a curated record. The transcript has 2 exons. NCBI's taxonomy places the organism in Eukaryota, Metazoa, Chordata, Actinopteri, Salmoniformes, Salmonidae.